UACGUAGGGUGCAAGCGUUAAUCGGAAUUACUGGGCGUAAAGCGUGCGCAGGCGGUUUUGUAAGUUUGUCGUGAAAGCCCCGGGCUCAACCUGGGAAUUGCGAUGGAGACUGCAAGGCUAGAAUCUGGCAGAGGGGGGUAGAAUUCCACGUGUAGCAGUGAAAUGCGUAGAGAUGUGGAGGAACACCGAUGGCGAAGGCAGCCCCCUGGGUCAAGAUUGACGCUCAUGCACGAAAGCGUGGGGAGCAAACAGG
RNAcentral lists this ribosomal RNA (253 nucleotides) under uncultured bacterium. RNAcentral describes it as "partial 16S ribosomal RNA". It matches the Rfam family "Bacterial small subunit ribosomal RNA", at positions 524 to 776 of the family's 1533-position model. The record is from RNAcentral.